GCCGGGGUGCCCGAGCGGUCUAAGGGGGAGGGCUCGAGACCCUCUGCCCCCUACGGGGCGCGCGGGUUCGAAUCCCGCCCCCGGCGCCA
Molecule: transfer RNA, 89 nt
Filed under: Thermoprotei archaeon
Lineage: Archaea; Thermoproteati; Thermoproteota; Thermoprotei
Also listed under: 1 other name
Description: tRNA-Ser
Rfam family: tRNA
About the family: Transfer RNA (tRNA) molecules are approximately 80 nucleotides in length.
Source: RNAcentral